This 535-nucleotide ribosomal RNA is filed under the name alpha proteobacterium zj13. RNAcentral's name for it is "bacterial SSU rRNA". It matches the Rfam family "Bacterial small subunit ribosomal RNA", at positions 352 to 905 of the family's 1533-position model. The record is from RNAcentral. Lineage: Bacteria; Pseudomonadati; Pseudomonadota; Alphaproteobacteria.
CAGUGGGGAAUCUUGCGCAAUGGGCGAAAGCCUGACGCAGCCAUGCCGCGUGAAUGAUGAAGGUCUUAGGAUUGUAAAAUUCUUUCACCGGGGACGAUAAUGACGGUACCCGGAGAAGAAGCCCCGGCUAACUUCGUGCCAGCAGCCGCGGUAAUACGAAGGGGGCUAGCGUUGCUCGGAAUUACUGGGCGUAAAGGGAGCGUAGGCGGAUAGUUUAGUCAGAGGUGAAAGCCCAGGGCUCAACCUUGGAAUUGCCUUUGAUACUGGCUAUCUUGAGUUUGGGAGAGGUGAGUGGAACUCCGAGUGUAGAGGUGAAAUUCGUAGAUAUUCGGAAGAACACCAGUGGCGAAGGCGACUCACUGGCCCAAUACUGACGCUGAGGCUCGAAAGCGUGGGGAGCAAACAGGAUUAGAUACCCUGGUAGUCCACGCCGUAAACGAUGAGUGCUAGUUGUCGGCAUGCAUGCAUGUCGGUGACGCAGCUAACGCAUUAAGCACUCCGCCUGGGGAGUACGGUCGCAAGAUUAAAACUCAAA